GAUGAACGCUGACAGAAUGCUUAACACAUGCAAGUCUACUUGAACUUCGGUUUGGGUGGCGGACGGGUGAGUAACGCGUACAGAACUUGCCUCACAGUUAGGGACAACAUUUGGAAACGAAUGCUAAUACCUGAUAUUAUGAUUUUAGGGCAUCCUAUAAUUAUGACAGCUAUAUGCGCUGUGAGAGAGCUUUGCGUCCCAUUAGCUAGUUGGAGAGGUAACGGCUCACCAAGGCGAUGAUGGGUAGCCGGCCUGGGAGGGUGAACGGCCACAAGGGGACUGGGACACGGCCCUUACUCCUACGGGAGGCAGCAGUGGGGAAUAUUGGACAAUGGACCAAAAGUCUGAUCCAGCAAUUCUGUGUGCACGAUGACGUUUUUCGGAAUGUAAAGUGCUUUCAGUUGGGAAGAAAAAAAUGACGGUACCAACAGAAGAAGUGACGGCUAAAUACGUG
RNAcentral lists this ribosomal RNA (454 nucleotides) under uncultured bacterium. Its description in RNAcentral is "partial 16S ribosomal RNA". It matches the Rfam family "Bacterial small subunit ribosomal RNA", at positions 28 to 507 of the family's 1533-position model. The record is from RNAcentral.